Molecule: ribosomal RNA, 407 nt
Filed under: uncultured bacterium
Lineage: Bacteria
Description: partial 16S ribosomal RNA
Rfam family: Bacterial small subunit ribosomal RNA
Source: RNAcentral
GACGAACGCUGGCGGCGUGCCUAAUACAUGCAAGUAGGACGCAGUUGCGAACGGGUGAGUACCUCGUAGGUCACUACCUAUUAGAGGGGGAUAACUAUUGGACACGAUAGCUAAUACCGCAUACUAGUAGAUUGACCUGCGUUGUAUUAACUAGUACGUAGGGUAAUGGCGUACCUAGACAACGAUACAUAGCCAAGCUGAGAGGGGGAGCGGCGAAAAUGGGACUGAUGCACGGCACAGAAUACUGCGGGAGGCAGCAGUAGGGAAGCAUCGGCAAGGGGGGGAACGCUGACCGAGCAACGCCGCGUGAGUGAAGAAGGUUUUCGGAUCGGACAGCUCUGUUGAUAAGGAAGCGGUACUUAACCAGAAAGCGACGGCUAACUACGUGCCAGCCGCCGCGGUAAUAC